Molecule: ribosomal RNA, 903 nt
Filed under: uncultured prokaryote
Description: bacterial SSU rRNA
Rfam family: Bacterial small subunit ribosomal RNA
Source: RNAcentral
AGCGUUAAUCGGAAUUACUGGGCGUAAAGCGUGCGUAGGUGGUUUGUUAAGUCAGAUGUGAAAGCCCCGGGCUCAACCUGGGAACUGCAUUUGAAACUGGCAAACUUGAGUAUAGGAGAGGAAAGUGGAAUUUCUGGUGUAGCGGUGAAAUGCGUAGAUAUCAGAAGGAACAUCAAUGGCGAAGGCAGCUUUCUGGACUAAUACUGACACUGAGGUACGAAAGCGUGGGUAGCAAACAGGAUUAGAUACCCUGGUAGUCCACGCCGUAAACGAUGACAACUAGCCGUUGGGGGGAUUUACCCUUUAGUGGCGAAGCUAACGCGUUAAGUUGUCCGCCUGGGGAGUACGGCCGCAAGGUUAAAACUCAAAGGAAUUGACGGGGACCCGCACAAGCGGUGGAACAUGUGGUUUAAUUCGAUGCAACGCGAAGAACCUUACCUGGUCUUGACAUACACGGAACUUUCCAGAGAUGGAUUGGUGCCUUCGGGAACCGUGAUACAGGUGCUGCAUGGCUGUCGUCAGCUCGUGUCGUGAGAUGUUGGGUUAAGUCCCGUAACGAGCGCAACCCCUAUCCUUAUUUGCCAGCACAUCAUGGUGGGAACUAUAAGGAGACUGCCGGUGAUAAGCCGGAGGAAGGCGGGGACGACGUCAAGUCAUCAUGGCCCUUACGACCAGGGCUACACACGUGCUACAAUGGGAAGAACAAAGAGUUGCGAAGCCGCGAGGUGUAGCUAAUCUCACAAAUCUUUUCGUAGUCCGGAUCGGAGUCUGCAACUCGACUCCGUGAAGUCGGAAUCGCUAGUAAUCGUAGAUCAGAACGCUACGGUGAAUACGUUCCCGGGUCUUGUACACACCGCCCGUCAUACCAUGGGAGUGGGUUGCACCAGAAGUAGCUAGUCUAAC